CAUACCGGCCAUACCACCCUGAACGUGCCUGAUCUGGUCUGAUCUCAGAAGCCGAGCAGGGUCGGGCCUGGUUAGUACUUGAAUGGGAUUCCGCCUGGGAAUACCAGGUGCUGUGGGC
RNAcentral lists this ribosomal RNA (118 nucleotides) under Propithecus coquereli (Coquerel's sifaka). The record is from RNAcentral. Lineage: Eukaryota; Metazoa; Chordata; Mammalia; Primates; Indriidae.